UACAGAGGGGGCAAGCGUUGUUCGGAAUUACUGGGCGUAAAGGGCUCGUAGGCGGCCAACUAAGUCAGACGUGAAAUCCCUCGGCUUAACCGGGGAACUGCAUCUGAUACUGGAUGGCUUGAGUUCGGGAGAGGGAUGUGGAAUUCCAGGUGUAGCGGUGAAAUGCGUAGAUAUCUGGAGGAACACCGGUGGCGAAGGCGGCAUCCUGGACCGACACUGACACUGAGGAGCGAAAGCCAGGGGAGCAAACGGG
This 253-nucleotide ribosomal RNA is filed under the name uncultured bacterium. Its description in RNAcentral is "partial 16S ribosomal RNA". It matches the Rfam family "Bacterial small subunit ribosomal RNA", at positions 524 to 776 of the family's 1533-position model. The record is from RNAcentral.